GACGAACGCUGGCGGCGUGCCUAAUACAUGCAAGUAGAACGCUGAAGGAGGAGCUUGCUUCUCUGGAUGAGUUGCGAACGGGUGAGUAACGCGUAGGUAACCUGCCUGGUAGUGGGGGAUAACUAUUGGAAACGAUAGCUAAUACCGCAUAAUAGCAGUUGUUGCAUGAUAACUGUUUGAAAGGUGCAAUUGCACCGCUACCAGAUGGACCUGCGUUGUAUUAGCUAGUUGGUGGGGUAACGGCUCACCAAGGCGACGACACAUAGCCGACCUGAGAGGGUGAGCGGCCACACUGGGACUGAGGCACGGCCCAGACUCCUACGGGAGGCAGCAGUAGGGAAUCUUCGGCAAUGGACGGAAGUCUGACCGAGCAACGCCGCGUGAGUGAAGAAGGGUUUCGGAUCGUAAAGCUCUGUUGUAAGAGAAGAACGAGUGUGAGAGUGGAAAGUUCACACUGUGACGGUAUCUUACCAGAAAGGGACGGCUAACUACGUG
RNAcentral lists this ribosomal RNA (495 nucleotides) under uncultured bacterium. RNAcentral's name for it is "partial 16S ribosomal RNA". It matches the Rfam family "Bacterial small subunit ribosomal RNA", at positions 28 to 507 of the family's 1533-position model. The record is from RNAcentral.